CUGACACCUGGCUGGGAGUCAUGUUAUUGAGGUGGCUUUGGAUGUGAAAGAGUUUGGAGUCACAGAGAAUCAGAGGGUGGGUAAGUUUUAGAUUCUGGAAGCUAAGAGUAUUUUGCGGCUGGCUGCGUUCCCCUAGAAAUCUGAAGGGGUGCGACAAAUUUGGCACAUUUCCCGGAGUUCAGCUACACAGUGGUACCUCAUGUUAAGUACUUAAUUCAUUCCGGAGGUGCAUUCUGAAACUGUUCUUAACCUGAAGCACCACUCUAGCCAAUGGAGCCUCCUGCUGCUGUGGCGCCGCCAGAGCACGAUUUCUGUUCUCAUCCUGAAGCAAAGUGCUUAACCCGAGGUACUAUUUCUGGGUUAGCGGAGCCUGUAACCUGAAGCAUAUGUAACCUGAAGUGUACGUAACCCGAGGUACCACUGUACCUUUACCCAUGCUUAGCCUGUUUAUUUUGUGUAAAUAAAACUACCACAAAAAAUACAAAAAGUAUCCCAUGACCUUGUUCCACAAAAAGAGAACCACUUGCAGAAUAGAUACAAGAGUAGCAAUAUUAGAAUACAGCCCUAGAAAUCUACAAAAAACUGUCUGGUUAGUUACAAUCAUGUGAAAUUCAGUGUGUGUGUGCACGCAUGCACAAACACACACUCCUUUUUGUUGUUGUCCUCAUUGCAGCUUUAGGUCUGCCAGUUCACAAUACUGCAGUGGCUGCGUUAACGGAAAAAUCCGAGGGCUCCCUUGGACAAAAACAAAGACACCAACCAGGAUAACUUGGAGCAAAACAGCAGCCUGUAGGCUUGGCCUUUAUUGAUCUGUUGCAAUAGGGUGCUCCACUCACCCGCAGGAGAGAGGAGGGACCCAGAAAAAUGGUGUGCAAGGCCUUAUAAAGACUUUUGAAAUUGCCACCCUGUAGAUCAAGACACCCCCAGAAACAUCAUACAUGCAUCACAGAAGGGGUGUAACCUAAGACCACCCCUCAGAUACAUCAUACCUACCUCACAAAAAAGGCGGUCUAAACAGAAAUUUGAAUGUUGUUUUUCUCCUGUCCUUGUUUAUCUCCUGUCUGGCAGGUUACUUGAUUGGAUUGCCUGGGGAGCCUGGCCAGUCUUUUGUAAUGAUAAAUACUUAGUUCCUGGGCCAUGUCACAGGCUCACACCCUAUUCAAACACAGACAUACCCUUAAGACAGGAUUUGUGAAGGAAAAGACAAUGGGGAGGCUUUUCCACUUUGACCUUGCAGAGAAAACAUUUGCUCAGUUUAGGAAUCAAAAUGGCUUCAGGUCGGUCUUCCUGUGCUGAUCUAUGUACGUGCGGUUAUGAACAUUACCAUAUAUAUAAGACCUCAAAAUUCCUAUCACAGCUGCACAAUUUCCCUGGCAGGGACCAGCAAUACCAUGUCCCUUUAGUUUCUUCACCCAUAAUACCCAGCCCACCAACUCUCUUUUAGUGCUUUUAGUGCUCUUUUAGUGGCCCACUUUCCUUUUGGAAAUACAGUGGUACCUCGGGUUACGGACGCUUCAGGUUACAGACUCCGCUAACCCAGAAAUAGUACCUCGGGUUAAGAACUUUGCUUCAGGAAGAAACAAGAUUUACCAACUAUUGAAGAAUGGCAGAUGAAGAUGAUGGACUAUAUGGAACUUGCCAAACUGACUGGGAGACUCUGAGACCAGAGAAAAGAGACGGUGGAAGAAGACUGGAAGAAGUUUAAGGAAUAUUUGAAAAAAAUAUGUUAAUAUUUAAAUCUUAGAAUAGCUUUGGAAGUGGAUAUAGGCUGUCAGGUUAGAAGUACAGUGGUACCUCGGGUUAAGUACUUAAUUCGUUCCGGAGGUCCAUUCUUAACCUGAAACUGUUCUUAACCUGAAGCACCACUUUAGCUAAUGGGGCCUCCCACUGCUGCCGCGCCACCAGAGCCCGAUUUCUAUUCUCAUCCUGAAGCAAAGUUCUUAACCUGAAGCACUAUUUCUGGGUUAGCAGAGUCUGUAACCUGAAGCGUAUGUAACCUGAGGUACCACUGUAGUUGCCUGGGCAAAACAGGGAAUAAGCAAAGAUGGUUUUGGGAAGCCUUGACAACUGCUAGGAAGAGGGAAAGUGAGGGUGGGGACAGUGAGGGAGAGGGAGAGCGAGGAGAAGGAAUGAUGGAAGAAUACGAUGUGAGGAAUUUGUGAAGUACUGUACAGCCAGUGAGGGGAGAUUUUGAUCUAGUUCUGCAAGUGACUCUGGCAGAUAGAGGUGGAACAAAACUGCAACAGGGGACAGAGCAGCUAUGAGGUGCAGGGGGACCUGGCAACCUGCAAUAUUGAAAAGCAGCUUGAGAGCACCAUCUCCUCAGAACACCUGAGCAACACCUGAGUGACAUCAUAAAGGACCAGAGGAAGAUUGUGAUAUAGGUCCAUUUUACCUGAACGGCCUCAGUCCAGUAUACCUGAAGGAGCAUCUCCACCUCCAUCGUUCUGCCCGGACACUGAGGUCCAGCGCCGAGGGCCUUCUGGCGGUUCCCUCGCUGCGAGAAGCCAAGUUACAGGGAACCAGCAGAGGGCCUUCUCAGUAGUGGCACCCGCCCUGUGGAAUGCCCUCCCACCAGAUGUCAAAGAGAAAAAUAACUACCAAACCUGUUUAGGGAAGCUUUUAAUGUUUAAUAGGUUAUUGUAUUUUAGUGUUUUGUUGGAAGCCGCCCAGAGUGGGUGGGGGGACCCAGCCAGAUGGGCGGGGUAUAAAUAAUAAAUUAUUAUUAUUAUUAUUAUUAUUAUUAUUAUUAUUAUUAUUAUUAUUAUACAGCUUUGUCAGGGAAUCAUAUGCUGGAGAAAAGCCAUUCCUUCCCUCAUUUAUAAGAAAAACCAGUUUAACAAAUGUGUUUGUGUAGGUUUCCAUGCUUUAGAGUGAAAACAUGGAGCAUGGUCUUCUCACCUGUCACACACCCCCUUCAGUGCAUACCCUCAGAUUCUUGUUUCUCACAUCAUUCUACCCUGAAGCCCUCCUUCAGCCUUCUUACAUUUCAGAUCCUGUCACUUAUCAUCACUAUAUCCUGGGACCUUCCCCAGUUCUCAGCCUGCCCUAUGUGUGGUGCUAAUGCCAGCCAAACUGACAACGCUAUCUGCUGUCACACAGCUGGGACUGCCAACUGUUUAGUUCCCUGAGCAACAGAAUGUUCUGAGCCCUCACACCACAACAUGCAUCCCAGCUCAGCCCAGCAGUGCAACUGAAAUACAAUAUACAUAUAUUUCAUUCUUGGAUAAUUUACUCCUUCCUCGUGAUUCCUCCCAUCCUCCACUCCUUUUUUUUUCCUCACCAAGAUUUCUCCUUGGGUUUUUUUUGCCUAGCCUUUCAAAGUAAAGAAUAAGUACUAGAAACAGAUGAAUUCCUACGCAACAAGAUACAGGAACUGACAAGUUACUUUGCUGUCAGAAACAAUUCAAUUGACUUUUUAUUCCCUACUGUACAGAAGUAUUGUCUAGCGAGGUCAAAGAAAGUCUUUUACAAUGUUCCUUUUAAAAAGCAAGGAAGCUGACCAGUUGUCUCUAUUGUAAAAACACUGAAAAAGAUUAUCAUUUGGCAGAACAUGUGUGUGUGCAGAAGGUGAUUUAUUUCAUUAUGAAAUUGUUAUAAGAAUUUUAAGGUCUUAGAUAUGUAAUAAAUGUUCAUAAAUGUACCAAGUAAACAUGUACAUAAAUAUAUAAACCACAUGUCUGGAGCAGCACAGGAAGACCGUCCUGAAACCAUUUAGACUCCCAAACUGACCAAAUGUUUUCUCUGCAAGGAGGGAGGGGGUGAGGGAACCUUCCCAUUGUCUCAGGAAUUGGGAAAUCACCAUCUCAAAGGAACGGCCAGACUACCAGGAAAGGCAAUCAGAUAAGGCAUUUUCAGAUAACCUGGCAGACAGGAAAAACAACAUUCAAAUUUCUGUUGUAGACCACCUUUUCUGUGAUGUAGGUAUGAUGUUUGUGGGGGGUGGUCUUGGGUUACACCCCUUCUGUGAUGCUUGUAUGAUGUAUGGAGAGGUGGUCUUGAGCUCCAGGGCAGGAAAUUUAAAUAUCUAUAUAAGGGCAGGCACACCUUUGUUCUGGGUCCUCCUCCGUCCUCCUGUGUGUGAGGGGAGCACCCUGUUGCAACAGCUUUAAUAAAGAUCAGGCUUACUAGCUGUUUUGCUUCUCAAUAUUCUCUGGUUGGCCUCUGUUAUUUUCUCCUACCGAUAGGGAACCCACUUAAGGACUCUAUAUGGGCUCUUGGAUACCCCAUAAGGGAAAAAGGGCAGAUUUUGUUUACAACAAUACUGAAUCUUAUUAUAUGUCUGUUGAAUUGGCUUUUGUCUAAUUUGAAUUUAUAUUGAUAUGUUUCGUAACAAAUUCCCCCUCCCCACCAAUGUUUUGCAUUUUGAUAAUAAUCUGAUGCGUGUAAUUUGUGAGACACUUUGAAAACAGUUCGCUACAGCAUAUAAAAUAAGCAAACCUCAAACUUUAUCUUCCCCCUAAUUAUUUCCUUAGUUCAGCUUCUACUUUGGUGUCCGUUACUCUGCAAAAUUUUGCACUCUUAACUGGAAGAACUCUGGAACACCAGUCACAUCUGCCUUGGCUCUUAAACAUACAAUGGAAAUAGCAGAGGCCAAUAGUAAAUCAUCUCCCACGACUGUCAGAUAAAAUAAACUGCCUGAACAAUAGAGCUGGCUAAUGCAGAGGGAAGUGAUCUGGGGAGGUUAAGUAGGCCAGUAGCACAGGCCCUUAAGGAAAAAGUGACAUUUAAAAGAAAACAAUAGGGGAGGGGGAGCUAAGUGUAAAAAAACAAAAACUGUAAGGCAGUUGACAGCAACCACACUGCCAAAAGUGUGCUGUGCUAGGUUAGGCCAAGGCUAUUCCUGAAUAGUAAUUAUUUUGAGUUUACCAUGAAGAGGGUUUGGCAGGAAUAUUGACCAAUUAGCAAGGAACUUCAUGGUAGGAUUUGUGCCCUAGAUAGUCAAAUGACCUUUUUAGGUAGGAGCGUUACAAGAAUUCUGUAUUGCCCCUUUGAAUGACAUAAUUUUGUUUUCCUACACAAGGGGGCCAGUUAGAAGUCCUCUGGAGUACUAGAAAGAGUGAGAAAAGGGGGAAUCUGUCUGGAAAGAAAUAAUAGCAAUGCAGGAAUAACUAGCAAUACUGUGCUGGGCCCGGGAGUAACCCGUGAAACACGGUCCAGGACCAGUCCAGAAUCCGAAGGUUCCACUAGGAGUCAGUCCAACGGGGCCAAGGCAGAACACGAGGCAGGAAACCAGGCAAGGACAGGUACAGGAUCUCUGGCAGGAUCUAGCAUACUGCAAUGUUGCUCCCACAACCUGGGGUGGGGUCCGACAGCCUUUUAUCUUUGUCAGGGUAGCGGCCGGUCCUGAUCACCCGGCGACUCACCUCCCUGUUUCGCCCAAAGGCAAGCACUCCUCCUGUGAGUACUCAGGUCUCUCCUUCUCUCAGACCUUAGUCUCUGCAGUUCGGGAGACGUUGGUGAGUUACUAGACCCAGGGGCUGCCUCAGCCUCCCCGACCAAACCGGUAGUGGAGCAGCUGUAAGUGAUGGCCCAGCUGAAGGCAACGAGGUAAUCGCUGCAUCUGGAGCCAAGGCAGGCUCAGGUCCCUGACUCGGCCCAGCUGGUGUUUGUUGCAGGGGAGCCUGUGCAGACUGGGACCCUUCAGGAUCAGGCCCCAGACUUGGUUGCAGUGAUGCCUGAGGCAAAGGAUCCGGUGCAGACUGAGACUCCUCUGGUUCUGAGUCUGAGCCCAAGUCCCAGGCCAUCAAAAAUACCUACAGUCUAAACCAGGCAUAGGCAAACUCGGCCCUCCAGAUGUUAUGAGACUACAAUUCCCAUCAUCCCUGACCACUGGUCCUGUUAGCUAGGGAUGAUGGGAGUUGUAGUCCCAAAACAUCUGGAGGGCCGAGUUUGCCUGUGCCUGGUCUAAACAUUUAUUUUUACAUUAUCAUCAAAUCUCAAGUCUGAGGAAGUUCCAGAAGGCUUGCUAAGCUCCCCACCCACGCCCCGCCAAUCUUUUUAUGGAGUUGUAUUUAAGUUAUUUUGGAGAGAGACACCUUUUCUCCCCAUUUUCACUUGUGGGAUGUGAUUUAAUGAUUAAACAUUCUCCCUACAAUUCUAGCACUAAGUUGCCAUUCUUUGCUUAGGUGUCUGUUGUCAAGAAUGGUGCCCGUAAAGGAGAAUCAGUAUCACAGAUAAUAGAGAACUGGGCUCAACUCUAGUUCACAAAAUUCAACUCAGCUUGUCGGAACCCUGCUGUGCAGACGAAUCUCCUCCAUUCUUUGAUGUUACUAUCAGAGGCAGUCUCUGCAAGUAAAUUGGGGGUAGUAUGGCUGCAAGCUGUCAACCUGCGGUGUUUUCAAAGACUAGUUUGUUUUUCAUAGACUGCUUUCUAUAUAGAUGCUCUAGCACGAAAGCUGCCUCUGCUUAUCUGGAGCUGAGGAUGAAUCACCUGUUUCCCACUAGAUGAGUAACAGCUGCCAGGAAUUCCUGAUGCAAAAGUCAGUCCAUCAAGUCUGAAAGAGAUCAUAUUUAUUACUGCUAGUCUGCAGUGGGGCCCUGCCUUCCUACUACUCCAAAAGUAAAAAAACACCAAGUGAAGGUGGAUCUUUAAAAACCUCUCUGCAGUACUGUCUGUUUCCCAUGAUUUCCACUACCUCACCAUCUUUGCCUUCUGUCUUCAGACUCUGCAGCUACACACAAGACUCCUGCUCCCUCUCAUUUUCCCUUGAUGCCCCAUACACCUGUCACUCACUCCCAGAGAAUUUCCACCUUUCUCCUUCAAAAUCUCUUUUCCUUUUUAGUUUUGCCUUAAC
Molecule: non-coding RNA, 6797 nt
Organism: Podarcis lilfordi (Lilford's wall lizard)
Lineage: Eukaryota; Metazoa; Chordata; Lepidosauria; Squamata; Lacertidae
Source: the annotation of a GenBank genome assembly